ACACGACUCUCGGCAACGGAUAUCUCGGCUCACGCAUCGAUGAAGAACGUAGCAAAAUGCGAUACUUGGUGUGAAUUGCAGAACCCGUGAACCAUCGAGUUUUUGAACGCAAGUUGCGCCCAAAGCCAUCCGGUUGAGGGCACGUCUGCCUGGGCGUCACGUA
RNAcentral lists this ribosomal RNA (163 nucleotides) under Porophyllum ruderale. Its description in RNAcentral is "5.8S ribosomal RNA". It matches the Rfam family "5.8S ribosomal RNA". From Rfam's summary of the family: 5.8S ribosomal RNA (5.8S rRNA) is a component of the large subunit of the eukaryotic ribosome. The record is from RNAcentral. Lineage: Eukaryota; Viridiplantae; Streptophyta; Magnoliopsida; Asterales; Asteraceae.